CAACACGGGAGAGAUGGCCACUCUCCCGCCGCGGCAACCAGCGGAGAUUCCUGAUAAGGGCACCCAUUCCUCCCCUACACACCAGCGGGGGUUAUCCCGGUCCCCACCAAACAGAUCCACACUCAUACACCGACUCCUUGCACCCACGAUAUCCCGCAAGCAGAACAAGGCGGGCCUAGCCUCCAGGCCUUACCUCGCCAGGCGCCUACACGUGAGAGAAAAUAGAGCGCUUCCUCCAAUGCCUAGAUGCAAUCUUCCAGCAAGUCUGGGAACAGAUAGAAGAGCGCCUGGCACCACAGCCACCAACACCUGGGCAGGAGGCGAAGAAAGCUGGUGAUGACGGGUCGAGUGCAGCUCACUAAGGCGGAAUCCGGCCUGGUGCACACAUCACCCAAGCUGCCUGCCUACUCAGGCUGAAGGCCAUGUGGAGAAAGUCUCCACAGCAUCGCCCACGACACUGGAGGACCCCCCCGCAGCAGGCGACGGCAAAACAUCAAGGGAGAUACCCAGCCGCCUAGCGAGUCUGUGGACUACAGAUGCAGCCCUUCCAACAGUCCUGGGGCUGGAGUGAGGACUCCAGUGGUCCACACGUCACCAUGACCAUCUGGACCCCCCAGCCCCCUACUGUCACAAUGCGGACCCUCCAGGGCCAAAGCACCUUGUAUGGGUAUAGGAUGAAA
Molecule: non-coding RNA, 680 nt
Organism: Pelobates cultripes (western spadefoot toad)
Lineage: Eukaryota; Metazoa; Chordata; Amphibia; Anura; Pelobatidae
Source: the annotation of a GenBank genome assembly